Molecule: non-coding RNA, 89 nt
Filed under: [Eubacterium] saphenum
Lineage: Bacteria; Bacillati; Bacillota; Clostridia; Peptostreptococcales; Anaerovoracaceae
Description: Cyclic di-GMP-I riboswitch
Rfam family: c-di-GMP-I riboswitch aptamer
About the family: GEMM was predicted in a large-scale screen for bacterial structured RNA regulatory elements.
Source: RNAcentral
AUGUAAAGGGCAAACCGGCUGUGAGGCCGGGACGCAAAACUACAGGAUCUUGCCGGAGAUUAGCGAUACGGCAAGACAGCCAGCUGCCA